CCCUUAGAUGUUCUGGGCCGCACGCGCGCUACACUGACGAAGUCAGCGAGCAUGUCCUACGCCGACAGGUGCGGGGAAUCUUGUCAAACUUCGUCGUGAUGGGGAUUGAUUAUUGAAAUUCUUGAUCAUCAACGAGGAAUUCCUAGUAAGCGCAAGUCAGCAGCUUGCGUUGAUUACGUCCCUGCCCUUUGUACACACCGCCCGUCGCUACUACCGAUUGAAUGGUUUAGUGAGAUCUUCGGAUUGGCGCCACUGCGGCUCAGCAAUGGGCUCGGUGGAUGCCGAAAAGUUGAUCAAACUUGAUCAUUUAGAGGAGGUAAAAGUCGUAACA
RNAcentral lists this ribosomal RNA (331 nucleotides) under uncultured eukaryote. RNAcentral's name for it is "partial 18S ribosomal RNA". It matches the Rfam family "Eukaryotic small subunit ribosomal RNA", at positions 1470 to 1796 of the family's 1831-position model. The record is from RNAcentral.